This 429-nucleotide ribosomal RNA is filed under the name Campylobacter concisus. RNAcentral describes it as "bacterial SSU rRNA". It matches the Rfam family "Bacterial small subunit ribosomal RNA", at positions 29 to 457 of the family's 1533-position model. The record is from RNAcentral. Lineage: Bacteria; Pseudomonadati; Campylobacterota; Epsilonproteobacteria; Campylobacterales; Campylobacteraceae.
AGUGAACGCUGGCGGCGUGCCUAAUACAUGCAAGUCGAACGAACAAGUAAGAGCUUGCUCUUAUGAGUUAGUGGCGCACGGGUGAGUAAUAUAUAGCUAAUCUGCCCUACACUAGAGGACAACAGUUGGAAACGGCUGCUAAUACUCUAUACUCCUAUCUUACAUAAGUUAGAUAGGGAAAGUUUUUCGGUGUAGGAUGAGGCUAUAUUGUAUCAGCUAGUUGGUGAGGUAAUGGCUCACCAAGGCUAUGACGCAUAACUGGUCUGAGAGGAUGAUCAGUCACACUGGAACUGAGACACGGUCCAGACUCCUACGGGAGGCAGCAGUAGGGAAUAUUGCUCAAUGGGGGAAACCCUGAAGCAGCAACGCCGCGUGGAGGAUGACACUUUUCGGAGCGUAAACUCCUUUUGUUAGGGAAGAAUAAUGACG